AAGUGAUACUAAAAUAGGUGAUAUAAUAGAUAAUGAAGAUGGUUAUUAAGAAUUACAGCAGGAUCUUGAUCAGCUGGGCAAGUGGGCCGAGGAAUGGCUCAGGGAGUUUAUUUCAGAUAAGGUUGAAGUCUUGCAUUUUGGGAAAUCAAACCAGGGCAGGACCUUCACAUUGAAU
Amblyraja radiata (thorny skate) is the source of this 175-nucleotide long non-coding RNA. RefSeq lists it as uncharacterized. NCBI's taxonomy places the organism in Eukaryota, Metazoa, Chordata, Chondrichthyes, Rajiformes, Rajidae. The record is from RefSeq and is a predicted model, not a curated record. The transcript has 3 exons.